Molecule: long non-coding RNA, 592 nt
Organism: Mauremys reevesii (Reeves's turtle)
Lineage: Eukaryota; Metazoa; Chordata; Testudines; Geoemydidae
Exons: 2
Source: RefSeq, a predicted model, not a curated record
UAACAAUGGAGCAUUAGAGAUGAUAGGCUGACUGAAAAGUGAGUUUUGAGGAGAGUGUGGUCAUUUGGCUCAUGACGACAGGGGAGAAUGUUCAAAGCAUAUGAAGGCGGUAUGAAGAUGAGGGCUGGAGAAGGAAGAUAUGAGACAUAAUUAAGGAAACCCAGCAGUGCCACAUGGCCCUACCUCUCAGUGGUACUCUAAGCGAGAUGUCCCUUGAAAUCACCCUGACAUGUAAUUCAAUAAAUAGCUCUAAAUGCCAUCGUGAUGAAGCUGCAAAACAGGGGAUUACAACUCCUGGUCAGGUGAGCAGCAGCAGCUGGGCAGGGAACCACUGCAAAGGAGACCCCAUGAACAAUGCUAACUGAGACUGGCCUGGAAACCUGCAAGCUCCUAUUUGCUUUAAUGGAGAGAGACUAGGCAGCGCACCCAGGCACUAGGCCUGAAGAGCCCUGACUCUCAAGUGGACUGCCCCUCAGGACCCAAACAGAAACUGCUAUUGCUCACUUUGAACUGUAACUGUUUAUUCUCUGUACUUACGGCAUUGGCAACCCUUCCCUUUCCUGCCAGCCGUAAUAAAAACCUUUCCCUUGGC